Molecule: long non-coding RNA, 392 nt
Filed under: Bos taurus (domestic cattle)
Lineage: Eukaryota; Metazoa; Chordata; Mammalia; Artiodactyla; Bovidae
Description: long non-coding RNA NONBTAT023365
Source: RNAcentral
CAGAGAAAGCAAUAUAUGUAUUUAUCUUUGGUAGAAUUAAAUAAAGCCAAAGAGAUCAAUUCCAUUUUAAUUUCAGCAUGUAAAUCUAUAUUUAAAUGACAUCUUUAUUAUACUUAGCUUAUAAAUAUAUAAACAUGUCUAAUUUUAAAUUUGCAUAGCCAAUACCUAUUUAAUAAUUUUAUAACGAAUGGAAAUUUAAGAUCAAGUUAAUGUAAUUUUCAUUUAGAGUUAAAACAUAAAUAAACAAACAAGUUAAAAGAUUUUUAUGCUUGCUUUAAGAUAAUGUAACAUAGUAUUACAAAGAAAUACUCAUUUUGAAUAAAUUGUGCUCUAUAUGGAUAAUUCCAGGCUUAAAAAUCUGCUCUUCAUCCCAGAUAAGAGUUUGCUCAUAA